UACGAGGGGGGCAAGCGUUGUUCGGAUUUAUUGGGCGUAAAGGGUGCGUAGGCGGUCUGGCAAGUCUUGUGUGAAAUCUUUGGGCUCAACCCAAAGCCUGCACGAGAAACUGCCGGGCUUGAGUAUGGGAGAGGUGAGUGGAAUUUCCGGUGUAGCGGUGAAAUGCGUAGAGAUCCGGAGGAACACCAGUGGCGAAGGCGGCUCGCUGGGCUCUACCUGACGCUGAGGCGCGAAAGCGUGGGGAGCGAACCGG
Molecule: ribosomal RNA, 253 nt
Filed under: uncultured bacterium
Lineage: Bacteria
Description: partial 16S ribosomal RNA
Rfam family: Bacterial small subunit ribosomal RNA
Source: RNAcentral